RNAcentral lists this ribosomal RNA (438 nucleotides) under uncultured bacterium. RNAcentral's name for it is "bacterial SSU rRNA". It matches the Rfam family "Bacterial small subunit ribosomal RNA", at positions 340 to 773 of the family's 1533-position model. The record is from RNAcentral.
UACGGAAGGCAGCAGUGGGGAAUAUUGCACAAUGGGCGCAAGCCUGAUGCAGCCAUGCCGCGUGUAUGAAGAAGGCCUUCGGGUUGUAAAGUACUUUCAGUCGUGAGGAAGGUGUUAAGGUUAAUAACCUUAGCAAUUGACGUUAGCGACAGAAGAAGCACCGGCUAACUCCGUGCCAGCAGCCGCGGUAAUACGGAGGGUGCGAGCGUUAAUCGGAAUUACUGGGCGUAAAGGGCACGCAGGCGGUUAAUUAAGUUGGAUGUGAAAUCCCCGGGCUUAACCUGGGAAUGGCAUUCAAGACUGGUUAGCUAGAGUCUUGUAGAGGGGGUAGAAUUCCAUGUGUAGCGGUGAAAUGCGUAGAGAUGUGGAGGAAUCCGGUGGCGAAGGCGGCCCCUGGACAAAGACUGACGCUCAUGUGCGAAAGCGUGGGGAGCAAAC